UACAGAGGCCUCGAGCGUUAGGCGGAAUCACUGGGCUUAAAGCGUGUGUAGGCGGAUGUCUAAGUGCUUCGUGAAAUCCCACGGCUCAACCGUGGAACGGCUUGGCAUACUGGAUGUCUUGAGCGGUCUAGGGGCGAGCGGAACAGAUGGUGGAGCGGUGAAAUGCGUAGAUAUCAUCUGGAACGCCUAUGGUGAAAACAGCUCGCUGGGGACCUGCUGACGCUGAGACACGAAAGCCAGGGGAGCGAACGGG
Molecule: ribosomal RNA, 253 nt
Filed under: uncultured bacterium
Lineage: Bacteria
Description: partial 16S ribosomal RNA
Rfam family: Bacterial small subunit ribosomal RNA
Source: RNAcentral